RNAcentral lists this ribosomal RNA (1460 nucleotides) under uncultured organism. Its description in RNAcentral is "16S ribosomal RNA". It matches the Rfam family "Bacterial small subunit ribosomal RNA". The record is from RNAcentral.
GACGAACGCUGGCGGCGUGCCUAAUACAUGCAAGUAGAACGCUGAAGAGAGGAGCUUGCUCUUCUUGGAUGAGUUGCGAACGGGUGAGUAACGCGUAGGUAACCUGCCUUGUAGCGGGGGAUAACUAUUGGAAACGAUAGCUAAUACCGCAUAACAAUGGAUGACACAUGUCAUUUAUUUGAAAGGGGCAAAUGCUCCACUACAAGAUGGACCUGCGUUGUAUUAGCUAGUAGGUGAGGUAACGGCUCACCUAGGCGACGAUACAUAGCCGACCUGAGAGGGUGAUCGGCCACACUGGGACUGAGACACGGCCCAGACUCCUACGGGAGGCAGCAGUAGGGAAUCUUCGGCAAUGGGGGCAACCCUGACCGAGCAACGCCGCGUGAGUGAAGAAGGUUUUCGGAUCGUAAAGCUCUGUUGUAAGUCAAGAACGAGUGUGAGAGUGGAAAGUUCACACUGUGACGGUAGCUUACCAGAAAGGGACGGCUAACUACGUGCCAGCAGCCGCGGUAAUACGUAGGUCCCGAGCGUUGUCCGGAUUUAUUGGGCGUAAAGCGAGCGCAGGCGGUUUGAUAAGUCUGAAGUUAAAGGCUGUGGCUCAACCAUAGUUCGCUUUGGAAACUGUCAAACUUGAGUGCAGAAGGGGAGAGUGGAAUUCCAUGUGUAGCGGUGAAAUGCGUAGAUAUAUGGAGGAACACCGGUGGCGAAAGCGGCUCUCUGGUCUGUAACUGACGCUGAGGCUCGAAAGCGUGGGGAGCGAACAGGAUUAGAUACCCUGGUAGUCCACGCCGUAAACGAUGAGUGCUAGGUGUUGGAUCCUUUCCGGGAUUCAGUGCCGCAGCUAACGCAUUAAGCACUCCGCCUGGGGAGUACGACCGCAAGGUUGAAACUCAAAGGAAUUGACGGGGGCCCGCACAAGCGGUGGAGCAUGUGGUUUAAUUCGAAGCAACGCGAAGAACCUUACCAGGUCUUGACAUCCCGAUGCUAUUUCUAGAGAUAGAAAGUUACUUCGGUACAUCGGUGACAGGUGGUGCAUGGUUGUCGUCAGCUCGUGUCGUGAGAUGUUGGGUUAAGUCCCGCAACGAGCGCAACCCCUAUUGUUAGUUGCCAUCAUUCAGUUGGGCACUCUAGCGAGACUGCCGGUAAUAAACCGGAGGAAGGUGGGGAUGACGUCAAAUCAUCAUGCCCCUUAUGACCUGGGCUACACACGUGCUACAAUGGUUGGUACAACGAGUUGCGAGUCGGUGACGGCAAGCUAAUCUCUUAAAGCCAAUCUCAGUUCGGAUUGUAGGCUGCAACUCGCCUACAUGAAGUCGGAAUCGCUAGUAAUCGCGGAUCAGCACGCCGCGGUGAAUACGUUCCCGGGCCUUGUACACACCGCCCGUCACACCACGAGAGUUUGUAACACCCGAAGUCGGUGAGGUAACCUUUUGGAGCCAGCCGCCUAAGGUGGGAUAGAU